GAGACUCUGUGCGCGUGCAUAUCAAUAAGCGGAGGAAAAGAAACUAACAAGGAUUCCCCUAGUAACGGCGAGUGAAGCGGGAAGAGCUCAAAUUUGAAAUCUUCAAGGUUCUACCUUGACGAAUUGUAGUUUAUAGAAGUGUUUUCUGUUAGUGGAGUGACAAAAGUUCCUUGGAAUAGGACAUCAUAGAGGGUGAGAAUCCCGUAUUUGGUCAUUCCUCCUAGCGUUGUGAUACACUUUCAACGAGUCGGAUUGUUUGGGAAUGCAGUCCAAAAUGGGUGGUAAAUUUCAUCUAAAGCUAAAUAUUGGCGAGAGACCGAUAGCGAACAAGUACCGUGAGGGAAAGAUGAAAAGAACUUUGAAAAGAGAGUUAAACAGUACGUGAAAUUGUCAAAAGGGAAGCGUUUGACACCAGUGUUGUUUAGUUGAAAAUCAAUUCAAUAGUUUUUGAUUCUAAGUAGUAUUGACUUCAUCAGCUUGCUGCUUUCUUCUCAGAAAUUAUUGAAUGCACUUUUCAGUUAACAAGUCAACAUCAAUUUCUUUUGUUGUAAAAGGGUAAGAGGAAGGUGGCUUGCGCUUUCGGAUAAAGUGUUUAUAGCCUUGUACCUCUGCAAUCGGAGAGAUUGAGGUCUGCAGCGUAGAUCCUUCGGGGUUAGAUACAUUUGUGCUAAGUUAUAGCUUUUCAUAGACAACUUGUUGACUAUAUUUAGUCUUGUAGGCUUACUCGCUUAUGCUAUUUUACCUACGCUUAGGAUGUUGACAGCAGUAUAGACUGU
Molecule: ribosomal RNA, 776 nt
Filed under: uncultured Neocallimastigales
Lineage: Eukaryota; Fungi; Neocallimastigomycota; Neocallimastigomycetes; Neocallimastigales
Description: partial large subunit ribosomal RNA
Rfam family: Eukaryotic large subunit ribosomal RNA
Source: RNAcentral